GAUGAAGAACGCAGCGAAAUGCGAUAACUAGUGUGAAUUGCAGAAUUCAGUGAAUCAUCGAAUCUUUGAACGCACAUUGCGCCCGCCAGUAUUCUGGCGGGCAUGCCUGUUCGAGCGUCAUUUCAACCCUCAAGCACAGCUUGGUGUUGGGACUCGCGUUAAUUCGCGUUCCCCAAAUUGAUUGGCGGUCACGUCGAGCUUCCAUAGCGUAGUAGUAAAACCCUCGUUACUGGUAAUCGUCGCGGCCACGCCGUUAAACCCCAACUUCUGAAUGUUGACCUCGGAUCAGGUAGGAAUACCCGCUGAACUUAAGCAUAUCAAUAAGCGGAGGA
This 332-nucleotide unclassified non-coding RNA is filed under the name soil metagenome. RNAcentral describes it as "partial contains 5.8S ribosomal RNA, internal transcribed spacer 2, and large subunit ribosomal RNA". The stretch from base 1 to 120 matches the Rfam family "5.8S ribosomal RNA", at positions 35 to 154 of the family's 154-position model. The record is from RNAcentral.